GAUGAACGCUGGCGGCGUGCCUAAUACAUGCAAGUCGAGCGAACAGAUGAGAAGCUUGCUUCUCUGAUGUUAGCGGCGGACGGGUGCGUAACACGUGGGUAACCUACCUAUAAGACUGGGAUAACUCCGGGAAACCGGGGCUAAUACCGGAUAAUAUUUUGAACCGCAUGGUUCAAUAGUGAAAGACGGUUUCGGCUGUCACUUAUAGAUGUACCCGCGCCGUAUUAGCUAGUUGGUAAGGUAACGGCUUACCAAGGCGACGAUACGUAGCCGACCUGAGAGGGUGAUCGGCCGCACUGGAACUGAGACACGGUCCAGACUCCUACGGGAGGCAGCAGUAGGGAAUCUUCCGCAAUGGGCGAAAGCCUGACGGAGCAACGCCGCGUGAGUGAUGAAGGUCUUCGGAUCGUAAAGCUCUGUUGUUAGGGAAGAACAAAUUUGUUAGUAACUGAACAAGUCUUGACGGUACCUAACCAGAAAGCCACGGCUAACUACGUGCCAGCAGCCGCCGCAG
This 514-nucleotide ribosomal RNA is filed under the name uncultured bacterium. Its description in RNAcentral is "partial 16S ribosomal RNA". It matches the Rfam family "Bacterial small subunit ribosomal RNA", at positions 28 to 523 of the family's 1533-position model. The record is from RNAcentral.